GUUUCCACCACUUCAUCCAGGGCACACGCAUCUUCGGUGGGACUUGGGAUUCCUGAAUUGCCUUUGUGAAAAGCAGGCAUAAUUUCUUUAAAUUCCUUCUCUUAGUUUUCCAUGUGAGUAUUCAUGAUUGUUACAGAUUU
This 140-nucleotide non-coding RNA is filed under the name Camelus bactrianus (Bactrian camel). RNAcentral's name for it is "ODC internal ribosome entry site (IRES)". It matches the Rfam family "ODC internal ribosome entry site (IRES)". RNAcentral also lists the same sequence under 2 other names. The record is from Rfam by way of RNAcentral. Lineage: Eukaryota; Metazoa; Chordata; Mammalia; Artiodactyla; Camelidae.